UGGGGAAUAUUGGACAAUGGGCGCAAGCCUGAUCCAGCAAUGCCGCGUGAGUGAUGAAGGCCUUAGGGUUGUAAAGCUCUUUUACCCGGGAAGAUAGUGACUGUACCGGGAGAAUAAGCCCCGGCUAACUCCGUGCCAGCAGCCGCGGUAAUACGGAGGGGGCUAGCGUUGUUCGGAAUUACUGGGCGUAAAGCGCACGUAGGCGGCUUCCUAAGUCAGGGGUGAAAGCCUGGAGCUCAACUCCAGAACUGCCUUUGAGACUGGGUCGCUUGAAUCCGGGAGAGGUGAGUGGAAUUCCGAGUGUAGAGGUGAAAUUCGUAGAUAUUCGGAAGAACACCAGUGGCGAAGGCGGCUCACUGGACCGGCAUUGACGCUGAGGUGCGAAAGCGUGGGGAGCAAACAG
Molecule: ribosomal RNA, 403 nt
Filed under: uncultured bacterium
Lineage: Bacteria
Description: bacterial SSU rRNA
Rfam family: Bacterial small subunit ribosomal RNA
Source: RNAcentral